Molecule: ribosomal RNA, 232 nt
Filed under: uncultured bacterium
Lineage: Bacteria
Description: partial 16S ribosomal RNA
Rfam family: Bacterial small subunit ribosomal RNA
Source: RNAcentral
GAUCCUGGCUCAGGACGAACGCUGGCGGCGUGCUUAACACAUGCAAGUCGAACGAAGCUAUGCGACGGAAUCCUUCGGGAGGAAGAUGUAUAGACUUAGUGGCGGACGGGUGAGUAACGCGUGAGCAACCUGCCUACAAGAGGGGGACAACAGCUGGAAACGGCUGCUAAUACCGCAUAAGACCACACUUUCACAUGAAAGAGAGGUCAAAGAUUUAUCGCUUGUAGAUGGG